AUCAUUAAGCGGUGGAAAAGAAAACAAAAGUGAUACCCCUAGUAACGGCGAGCGAACAGGGUAGAGUCCAACGCAAAGGCGCACUGUGCAUUUGUAUGGUGAGCGAUGCUGCGUGUGGGUUUGAUGCUUGAGUUCAAAAUCGUGUGUUGGCAUGUGUGCAAACGAAUUACCUAGUAGUUGGCCAUAGCAGGUUAAAGCCCUGUGUGCACACUGUAGGUCCACAUGCGACAGUACGAAGGCUUAAACCUGAGAGUAGGAUUGUUCGAGAGUGCAAUCUGAAGUAGGAGGUAUGCAUCUCCUAAGACUAAAUAUCACUGCGAGACCGAUAGCGAACAAGUAGCGUAAGCGAAAGUUGAAAAGAACUUUGAAGAGAGAGUUCAAAGAGCGUGAAACCACUAGUAGGGAAACGGAUGUUACCUCGAGUAGGCGAUGCGUGCUUGUGGUUGUUCGUGAUUGGCGCUACAUGCGUACAAAGUUUAGCGCUAGUUUCGGCUGGUGAAACCUUUGUGCGUAUGGGGCUGCCAGCGCAAUAGCUGUAAAUCAAGUGCGUUGCCAGUAUCUUGCACUCUUUCAAGGCUUGGUAGUGCUUGUGAAUGCCUAUGCAGCACCUUUGGGGAGGCUGUGUAGGUUCAUAAGUAGGCUGUCUAGUAUACAAAUGUAGAUGUGCGUUGAUCUUGCGUCAGCGUGAUCUAUGAUUGUUACAAGUCCCUACCAUAGAGCGAAGAGAAGAGGAGUAGGGUAUAAGUAGAUCGGUAAGCAUCUGUCCCGUCUUGAAACACGGACCAAGGAGCCUAGCGUGUGCGCAAGUCAUUCAGUGUUACACUAAACUAGACUGGCGCAACGAAAGCAAUAUGGCGUAAGUUCGUACAAUGAGCUUACGCUGCUACGAGGCGCUGACCGGCCUUUAAAAGCCUGCAGUGUCGCAGUAGCGAUGCGAUGAUUUUUCGUCGUAUCAGAGCGCACACGAUAGUACCCGAAAGAUGGUGAAUUAUGCUUGAGCAGGGUGAAGCCAAAGGAAACUUUGGUGGAAGCCUGAAGCAGUUUUGACGUGCAAAUCGAUUGUCAGACUCGAGUAUAGCGGCGAAAGACUAAUCGAACCAUCUAGUAGCUGGUUUCCUUCGAAAUUUCCCGCAGGAUAGCAAGCGCGCUACAAAUCAUUCAAACCUGUUACAGUCUCAAUAGAAGGUAACGGGGCGUUAUUUGACCUUGUCCUUUUCCUAAACUUGGUCAAUGGGUUGCACUAGUUGCAUUACUCUACAUGCUUGCUGCAUGUAGCCACAAACCUAACUAGAGGAUGAUUUGCGCUUAGUGGGCCAUUUUUGGUAAGCAGAACUGGCGAUGUGGGAUGAACCGUACACAGAGUUAAAGUGCCUAAUGUUUAUACGCUAAGAAGAUCCCAUUAAAGAUGUUGUUCGCUUAAGACAGUAGGGCGGUGGCCAUGGAAGUCGGCAUCCGCUAAGGAGUGUGUAACAACUCACCUACCGAAGCGUUCAACUCUGAAAAUGGAUGGCGCUAAAGCGUUAUACUGAAACUCUGUCGUAGGUAGUAAAUCCUGUGCAAGGGUGCGUUUGGCGUGUGUGAUUAUCUUGUGUAAUCACCCGUCGCGCACAUCAGACUCCUACGAGUAGGAGGAAUGCGGUGGUGGCGUAGAAGCUUUGGACGUAAGUCCGGGUGGAGCCGCUGCUGAUACAGAUCUUGGUGGUAGUAGCAAACAAACAAGUGACAACCUUGUUGACCGACGUGGAUAAGGGUUCCAUGUGAACAGUAUUUGGUCAUGGGUUAGUCGAUCCUGAGGGGCGCGGCGAAAGCCGUAUCGUAAGAAGUGUGCCUUGCUGCAUACGCCUCGAAAGGGAAUCAGGUUAAUAUUCCUGAACCUUGCACGUGACAGUUUUCGCAAGAAGACGUGGCGGCGACGCGUUCGAACCCAAAGACGUCAGCUGGAGUCCUGGGAAGAGAUUUCUUCUCUUCUGUAAGGUGUGCUGAGUGCCUUGAAACAGUUUAGCUGGAGACAGGCAUGUACGCACCGAAUUGCAGCGCGCUUCAUGUGCUGUUCGCAGUGUACUCUGGUUGGCCCUUGAAAAUUUGGGCAAGUGUGUGUAAGUCACUGCAAGAUCGUACCUAGAUCCGCAACCGGUAUCCUAGGUGAACAGCCUCUGGUCUAUUAGAAUAAUGUAAGUAAGGGAAGUCGGCAAAACUGAUCUGUAUCUUUGGUACAAAGAUUGGCUCUGGCGAGUUUGCUAGCUGCGUCGUGAUUAGUAAGCGUGAGCGUGCGUCGCGCGUACUGGAGGGCAGUUCUCACGAACACACCCAUCGGGAUGUGCGCGCUGCUUGCGUUGAGCAUUGCGAGUACGGCUAGCAAAUAGAACAAAUAGUCAGAACUAUCAUUGACUUUUCGGAAUCUGACUGUUUAAUUAAAACAUAGCAUCGAGAUGACUGGUGACCCAGUGUUGACUCGAUGUGAAUUCUGCCCAGUGCUCUGAAUGUCAACGUGUAGAAAUUCAAUGAAGCGCGGGUAAACGGCGGGAGUAACUAUGACUCUCUUAAGGUAGCCAAAUGCCUCGUCAUCUAAUUAGUGACGUGCAUGAAUGGAUUAACGAGAUUCCAUCUGUCCCUACUUACUAUCUAGCGAAACCACAGCCAAGGGAACGGGCUUGGCGAAAUCAGCGGGGAAAGAAGACCCUGUUGAGCUUGACUCUAGUCUGGCAUUGUGAGGAAACUGUAUUCGGUAUAGCCUAGGUGGGAGAUAGUAGCAAUAUUAUCGGUAUAAACUGUAAAACCACCACGAUACAGCACCACUCACUGACUUAGUUAUGAGGCUCACCUUGUGGGUUCACUUUUGUGAACUGCAAGGGAAUCUUCGUAAUAGCGCACUAAGUCGAGAUGAGCAGCUGCGGAUGGCGUGUCGGUGUGUUUUUACGAAUGCAUGUCUGUGCGUACAUCGGGUUGCAACAAGCAUCACGUCGAGGCAUUAUCUAAGGACAGUGCCAGGCGGGGAGUUUGACUGGGGCGGUACAUCUAUCAAAUGCUAACGUAGGUGUCCUAAUGUUAGCUCAGUGAGACCAGAAAUCUCACGUAGAAUAUAAGGGUACAAGCUGGCUUGAUUCUGAAUAACAGUACGAUUGCGAGACAAGAAAUUGUGGCCUAACGAUCCUUUUGAGAAGCGAAAUACUAUCAAUGCAUAAUACAAGAGGUGUCAGAAAAGUUACCACAGGGAUAACUGGCUUGUGGCGGCCAAGCGUUCAUAGCGACGCCGCUUUUUGAUCCUUCGAUGUC
RNAcentral lists this ribosomal RNA (3273 nucleotides) under Elattoma abeskoun. Its description in RNAcentral is "eukaryotic LSU rRNA". It matches the Rfam family "Eukaryotic large subunit ribosomal RNA", at positions 42 to 2885 of the family's 3401-position model. The record is from RNAcentral. Lineage: Eukaryota; Metazoa; Arthropoda; Arachnida; Trombidiformes; Pygmephoridae.